GAGGAAAAGAAAAUAACCAUGAUUCCCCUAGUAACGGCGAGUGAAGAGGGAAAAGCUCAAAGUUGGAACCUGGCUGUCUUAGAUAGUCCGGAUUGUAAACUAAAGAGCGUGAAUCCAGGCAAGCCGGUUGAUCAAGUCCUUUGGAAUGAGGCGCCACUGAGGGUGAGAGCCCCGUAAAUCGACUGAGCAUUUGUCUUUUGUGUUUCGCGUUCAAAGAGUCAGGUUGUUUGGGAAUGCAGCCUAAAGCUGGUGGUAAAUCCCACCUAAAGCUAAAUACAGGCGAGAGACCGAUAGCGAACAAGUACCGUGAGGGAAAGAUGAAAAGUACUUUGAAAAGAGAGUUAAACAGUAUGUGAAAUUGCCAAGAGGGAAGCAUUUGGAGUUAGACUGACUUGAAGUUAAUCAGCUUGGUCUUUGGACUGGGUGUACUUGACUUCUAUGUCUGCCAAUAGCAGUUAGUCCUGGUGGAAAAAACUGAAGGGAAGGUAGUCCUUCGGGAUGUUUAUAGACCUUUGGAAAAUACACUGGGAUUGACUGAGGAAUGCAGUAGAUGCUAUUAAGGCUUCGUCUAGUAGGUGUUAGGUGAAGGUACUUGGUAUUUUCAGCUUGCUGAUGUGCUAGGUUACUUGAGCUUAAUUGCUUGCUAGAACUGUAAUCUACUUUGGUUAUUGGCUUAAUGACUCUAAAUGGCCCGUCU
Molecule: ribosomal RNA, 697 nt
Filed under: Lichtheimia corymbifera
Lineage: Eukaryota; Fungi; Mucoromycota; Mucoromycetes; Mucorales; Lichtheimiaceae
Description: eukaryotic LSU rRNA
Rfam family: Eukaryotic large subunit ribosomal RNA
Source: RNAcentral